This 6840-nucleotide ribosomal RNA is filed under the name Triticum aestivum (bread wheat). Its description in RNAcentral is "partial small subunit ribosomal RNA". The record is from RNAcentral. Lineage: Eukaryota; Viridiplantae; Streptophyta; Magnoliopsida; Poales; Poaceae.
GCUCAAACAGGACAGCACGAUAGGCGACGCCGGACGCAGCUUCCUCUUCUUUUCUUCGCGUCGCCCUCCAACCCCACCCACCGCCGCCGCCACCCAGCACCACAAACCCGCACGAUCCCUCUCCGCGUCCUUGGUCGCCGACUUCCGAUAAGCUUCGACGCCGCGCACGCACGAGCUAGCGCAAAGCUCCAGCAUAUCAUCCCCAAUUUCGGAAGUCCGAUCCCCGGUUCGAUCCAGAACACCCUUUUUUUCUAGGGUUUGGUUUUGGCCGUGGAUCUAGGGUUUGGUGAGCCAAUUUUCCCUCGAUUCCCUUCGAUUGCUGGGAUUUGUUGUGCCUGCGCAUCAUGGCCGCGGGGCGCCACGGAGGAUACAGUGGUUACGAGGUGUCGAAGGAGCGGGAGUUCGAUCCGGAGGCUUCUAGAAGGGGCAAGGAUUACCAUCACCGCAACCCUAGCCGCCACCGCGACUCAGAUCGUCGUCGUGAUGGCGGCCGGAGCAGGGACCGGGAGACGUCAAAUGGGCACACCCGCCACCGGUCGCCACAUCUGCCACCGAAGAGCCGACCGUCAGGGAGGAGGGAGGAGAGGGAGCCCGGCGAGGUUUCAAGCGGAAGUGGCUCGGAAGAGUCUCGUGGGCGGCCGCUCAAGGCAAGGGAACCUGGUGUGAAUGGUGUUGUUGGGGUCAGCAGGGAGGGCGGGGUGCCGUCCCCAAGUAAGAAGCGAAAAUACUCGCCGGUUAUUUUGGAUAGGAAUGCUUCAAAGCCUCGCGUCCAAGAUGUUGGCAACCCGAGCAUGAAAGAGGUAGGCACUGUGGUUGCCAACCUCCCAGAUGUUGGCAACCUGAGCAGCAUUGAUUUGGAUGCGUCGGUUGAUGUACAAAAUGUUGAAAGAUUACAGGAGCACGACAAUGAUAGGGUUAUUAUGGAGGAGGAUGAGGAGGAGGAUGCUUAUCCAACAAUGAUAAACAUUAGGACUUCACGAUGGGCAGAUGCUGAUGACAAGGAAGAAAUUGCGUCAAAGAAGAAAAGCGUGUCACCAGAACAAGGGUCCGUGAAAAAGGUUACAAGCCCAGAGCUUGGAAAGUUGAUGGUGGAUAAAGACUCAAACUCCUCAGUGUCUUCUGACUCUGGCGUAGUACAGUUUAGUGCAAACAGGGAUCUUGAAGUAGAUAAGGGUGACUACAUGGAUAUCGAGAAGGAUGCUGGGGAUGAUUCUUCUGCUCUUUGUGGGAUGCGCACUGAUUCUGAGAGUCAUCGGUGUAGCUCUAGAACCCCAGAGCCCGCAGGGUCGCCGCAUAGGUGCAUUAACAUGCUUCAGGGUUGUAGGGGUGUUGACGAGUUUGAGAGGCUCAACACAAUUAAUGAGGGUACAUACGGUAUUGUAUCUAGGGCAAAGGAUAAGAAAACUGGUGAGAUUGUUGCAUUGAAGAAGGUAAAGAUGGAGAAUGAACGGGAAGGUUUCCCACUGACUUCUCUCAGGGAAAUAAAUAUCCUGCUAUCGUUCCAUCACCCUUCGAUUGUGGAUGUCAAGGAAAUAGUCGUUGGGAGUGGUGACAGCACCUAUAUGGUGAUGGAGUACAUGGAGCACGAUCUCAAGGCUGUCAUGGAGACCAUGAAACAACCAUAUAGUCAAAGCGAGGUCAAAUGUUUGAUGCUUCAGCUGCUAGAAGGUGUGAAGUAUCUUCAUGACAAUUGGGUGAUUCACAGGGAUCUCAAGACGUCUAAUAUUCUCUUGAAUAACCGCGGUGACUUGAAAAUAUGUGAUUUUGGGCUCUCUCGUCAAUAUGGCAGCCCACUAAAGCCUUACACUCAAUUGGUUGUGACUUUGUGGUACAGGGCUCCAGAACUACUGUUAGGUGCAAAGGAAUAUUCCACUGCUAUUGAUAUGUGGUCGUUGGGUUGUAUUAUGGCAGAACUCCUUUCAAAAAAGCCACUGUUUGAUGGGAAACGUGACAUCGACCAACUUAGUAAGAUAUUUAGAAUGCUUGGUACACCUAACGAGGACAUAUGGCCUGGUUAUUCUAAAUUACCGGGCGCCAGGGCCAAAUUUGCCAAACAACCGUACAAUAGAUUAAGGGAAAAGUUUCCAGCUGUAUCUUUCACUUGUGGGCUGACCCUGUCAGAGGCUGGAUUUGACCUGCUAAACAGAAUGCUGACGUAUGACCCUGAAACGCGCAUAUCAGCAGAGGAUGCGUUGAACCAUGAAUGGUUCUGUGAAGUACCAUUGCCUCAGUCAAGGGAUUCUAUGCCAACAUUUCAUUCCCUUAAUGAACAAGACAGGCGCAUGAUGAAACGUAUGAAGAGCCCUGAUCCUCUGGAGGAGCAACGAAUGAAAGAACUGGGGAGCAUACACGACCGUGGAAUUUUUGGCUGAGCCCUGAUCUUUUGGUUUGCUGCAGAUGCCAAUUUUCAACAUGAACCUCUGGAAGUGCACGUGUUCCAAGGUCAGACGUCCACUGGAUAUAUGAAGUACAUCGUCUUCUUGGUGUCUGGCGAGUGGCGACAGUUGGUGGCCUUCUUUAGCAGGCAUGGAUGCAUAAUCAGAAGGGGAUAAGAUUUCUCCUUAUAUUCCGUGCUAGGCACUAUUUCAUUUACAGGGUUAGCUCUUCCCCAACUUCUGGUCACAAUGAACUCUUACUUUACUUUUGGUCACAAUCUAAUCCACUGUGCAUUGUAAGGUGUGCAAAUAUCUCAUACAGCUACAUCGUAUGGUCUGGCCUAUUCACAGCUAUUGGGUACACCAGUUUCACAUACCGAUCUUCUGUAUGUAAAGUACUAUAAAGUGUAUUCCUUGUAAACAACAAUCAAUGAGAUCUUCUCACUUCAUUUUUCCUUGUUAAGCACAUUUUAUUUUGAUCUUUGCAUUUUCUCUGCAAGAGAUGAAUGAAGCGAAGAAGGGGAGUACCUUUUGCUUUUUCGCGAGGAAACUGAUGCAUAGUAAUGCAAAUUGUAAGCUUAAGCUGUGGCUUUCAAGACAGGAAGCUCGAGUGCUGUCAGCUUACCUUGCUUAAUUGACUUUCUUUGUGGAAGGUAUCCAAGCUCUGUUACUCUUGUCAAUCUUAGUUGGUCACUAUACUAUCCUAUCUUGGUAUGUUUUCUUGCUAGUAGUUUUCUUUGGUAACUGAUUACCAUUUCCUUGGUUGACAAAUAUAUUAUUUUUAAAUAUGUUCAGAGUUCAGGCGAUCUCAUCUUUAACUUAAUAUUGCUACAUGAUCCCUUGAAGAGUUGCCUGUUCUCUGGUUCUAUAUUUCCGAAGAUGCACGCCAUUGUCAUGAAAUGCUGCACUUUAUAAUUUGAUAAAAAAUUGUGGAUUCCGUAUGCUUUGCUUACUACAGGAAAACUGACAGGUGCUGGUAGAAACAAGACUAGUUUUCAUUUAAAUAAAUCAUGUUUAGUUUCCUUAAUGUUGUGAUAAUUUACCUACGGAUGCCUUGUAGUUAUCAGUUCAUUUUUAUUUAAUCCCUGUCAACCAUGUGCCCCCACCCACCAGUGGACAUGAUGAUUCUUUGUUGAACAUUUGUUGGAUAAUUCCAGUAGUUAGUUAUUUGCAGCGACCUAUUAAUUGCUCUCUCUCAAGUACUCCCUCCGUUCCAGAAUAUAAGGUGUAUUGUUUUCCAUGCAAGUCAACCAUCUGAAUGUUUGACCAAGAUUAUAGAAUAAAAUAACAACACAUGCAAUACCUAAUAGAUAAAAUAUGAAACUACUUUUCAUGAUGAAUCAAAUGAUAUAAAUUUUGUAUUGCGAAUAUUCAUAUAUUUUUCUAAAAACUCAGUCAAACAUGCACUCGUUUGACUUUUGGAAAAAACAGAUACACCUUAUAUAAAGGAAUGGAGGGAGUAGAUAGUACCACCGGUGGAGAAGAGAGCCCUGUUUUUUUAUAGAUAUGGCUCUUUUGUACUGAAUUCCUUGCCCCACUUCUGAAUGCAAUGCUUAUCAGUACUAAAAAAACCAGAACACAGACCCGUACAUUUUGUUCUUUUGGCGAGGGGUAUUCUGUUGUUGUGGUAUUUGGAUUAUGUAUACACAGUUUAGACAUCUCUUCAAAUUGCUACAAAUCGGUAACUUAUGUAGUGGUCAGAACUAACCUAGAUAAGGGCGGAGUGAAACAAGUUUUAAGUGCAAAUGAAGUGCUGGCUCUUGCCACUGUUGCGCCUAAUCGGGCUGCUUGUUAGCUAUUUCUGUCUUUGCUGCUUGCGACUUGGGCGGCAUGCUGGCUUGUGCCGGUACAGACGGAGAAAGAAAUAGGAGUGAGAUUCAGCCAAGUGGGAUGUUGAUAUGAUGUUUAUGUUCGCAUCGAGACAGCUCUCUCUCAAGUAAAUGGUACCAAUGGUGGAGAAGAGAGCCCUGUUUUUAUAGAUAUGACCUUUUGCAUUGAAAUUCCUUGCCCCACUUCUGAAUGAAAUGCUUAUCAGUAUUAAGCAAAAUCAGAACACAGAUCCAUUUAUUUUGUUCUUUCAUCGAGUGGUAUUUAUAGAGUUCAGAUCUGUCGAAAUUUCUACAAAGAUGGUAACUUAUGUAGUGGCUCUUGCCACCGCUGCGCCUCAUUGGGUGCAGCUCGUUAGCUAUUUCUGUCUUUGCUGCCAGCGACUUGGGCGGCCUGCUGACUUGUGCAGGUACCGAAAGGGAAAAGGGAAUAUGAGUGAGAUUCAGGCAAGUGAGAUGUUGAUGCGAUGCUUGUGUUUGCAUCGAGACAGAAACAAAGAAGCUCUAUUGUGAGUGCUGGACCGAACUGUUUAUGGGUUCUGACUUGCAUAUCCUUCAUGAGUUCCUAGAAGAAAUCAUGUACCAAUCUAUUAUUUUCUAUCCUUGUUUUCUACUCCCUCUGUUACAAAAUAAGUGUCGUGGAUUUAGUUCAAAUUUGAACCAUGUCAGUUAUUUUGGAACAGAGUAUUUGUAUAAGUUGAUUGUAUUGUGUUAGUUUAGAUAGAAGACUGUUAAGUCGUGUUCAUAGUGGGCCAUCUAAAAGUUGAUGGUCUUAAACUUCUUUAGUGGCACUUCAUCUUUAGUUAUCAGUUACAGUGUGGUAAAUAUUUUACUGGACAGUUCAUUGAAAUAUCUUUUCUUAUUCCGUGAAUGCAAGAUCAUUGUCAAAGGCAUGCCUGUAUUCCGUGAAUGCAAGAUCAUUCUCAAAGGCAUGCCGGUUUCCAGCGCAUCCUCUUGGUCAGUUGUUGCAGACGAAAUGCCUGCAGCAGAGCAUUCUACUAUGAACCUUAUUGACCUUUUCAGAACAAAUUAGCACAUACAUUUUGAAUAGAAAUGCUAUCUAACAUCGUUAACCAUUUCUCUCUUUUGCUGUCGUUUAAGUCAAGGGUCAAUUCUGCUGUAGCCUGAGUUUUUGAAUGAAAGUGCUGAAAUUUUGAUCAAAUAAGUUUGGCUUGGAAGCCUUGUAAAGCAUGGGAAGGUCUGGUUCAGUAUCUGAUAAUCUGCUCAGCUAGACACUUAAAUAUGUACUAUCGAAACUGCCUCCUUUCACGCGAACAUUUCAAAUAGAAAUGCUAUCCAGCUUCGAUAGGCAUUUCUCUAUUUUUGUUGUCGUUAGGUUCAAGGAUCAAUUGUGCUGUAGCCAGAGUUUUUAAAUGAAGUGUUUAAAGGUUUUGAUCAAAGUUUGGCUUGGAAGCCUUUUAAAGCAUCGCUAAGGUCAGGUCCAGUAUUUGAUAAUCUUGGACUAUCGAGAACUGCCUCCAUUCAUGAUGUAUGUGCAUUUGAUUUUGACAGUAAAUAUCUUGAUUCCUACUCAAUAAUUCAAGAUAUCACCUGAGCCUGCCCCCGAUGCAAUUUUUAUUGCAUGUUUUGCAGGUUCACGUUUGGGAAUCAGAGUGUAUUAAUCAUUAUUCUGUGUGGAUUAUGGUUUGUUAGCAGUGUUAACAUAUGAUCAUGAAUAGUAAGGUGGAGAAGUGCUCUUUUAUUACUAGCUUUUAUUGUAUUUUUGGUUGCACCACCUGUGCAUCUGCCAGAUUGUCUCCAACUGGAUUUGCCUGUCCUAACCCAUCGUACACUAAUGUCUGCAUAUGAAGGAUAAAAUCACCUCGGUAACUAAAUAUGAGACUUCUUUUUAGUUCAAUUUGAACUGCAAAAACGUCUUAUGUUUAGUUGCAGAGGUAGCAUUAACUUGUACUCCAGUUUAUUUUAUGUAUAUGCCCUUCCUAACCCUGUGCACAGCAACAAUGGAGUUUUUUUUUUUUUUUUGAACACUGGAAAUACUAUUGAUCAACAACAACGUACAUAUACAAGUGUGCACUGGAGUACUUCAGUGAGCUUCGCUACAUCUGCAUUAAGGCAAGAUAUGUUGCCUGCACAUAAACACAUAAACCUGAAAGGAGAAUUCUGGAUUUUGAGUGCUAGCCUAGCUUGAUGAUGUGCUCGAAAAUUAUAGCUCCUGUUGACAUGGUAGAUCCUGGUAGCAUCAAAAGUCGGAGAGGUUGUAAUGUAAGCAAGUUGAGGCCUAAGUUGUCGCCAGAGUCGCGUUGUCCGUCAGAAAAGUAACCUGUUGAAGCUGAAGCAAUUCUGCUAUCUUGGAUGCAAAGAAGCUUCUGCGGUCUCUCUGGCUUCUGACCAUUUGUGUUCUAUCAGACAAAAAAACCCUAAAGUGUUGCAAGAGUGCCUGCUGAUGUAUUGUUUCUUUUACCUCUUAGGGUUAUGGCUGUAUCUAUCUAAAUUUGGUAAGUGAUGUGGUGUCAAGAUGAGUACAGCUUGUUUUCUUUUUCCUGUAACGUGGUAACAAUGAAUAGUUCCUGACAGUUUUGCUGUCUGAGAUUUCGGAUAAUGUGCAGCUGAUUCACCUGAAAAUUUGUAUUCAUGAGAUAAAGCGAUAUAAUUUGUUUGUAGCGGGCUUUGCUAGCGAC